UACGUAGGUGGCAAGCGUUGUCCGGAUUUACUGGGCGUAAAGAGCGCGCAGGUGGUCGUUCAAGUCGCGUGUGAAAGCCCCCGGCUCAACUGGGGGGGGUCACGCGAUACUGAUCGACUCGAAGGCAGGAGAGGGUAGUGGAAUUCCCGGUGUAGUGGUGAAAUGCGUAGAUAUCGGGAGGAACACCAGUGGCGAAGGCGACUACCUGGCCUGUUUCUUGACGCUGAGGCGCGAAAGCUAGGGGAGCAAACGGG
This 254-nucleotide ribosomal RNA is filed under the name uncultured bacterium. Its description in RNAcentral is "partial 16S ribosomal RNA". It matches the Rfam family "Bacterial small subunit ribosomal RNA", at positions 524 to 776 of the family's 1533-position model. The record is from RNAcentral.